UGUUAUUUAUCAAUUAGUUGAUGAGAUAAUACAAUUAAUUCACUUAGAUCUUGUAAAGAAUUAUCAACCACUCAAAUAAUGACACAUCAUUUAAAAUAAUUCUUUAAGAUAAAAAAUUUAAGAUGUGUAGCACUAUUGUUUGAAUUAAGAAUCCUAGAACCCCAACGAAUUAUAUCUUCCAAUUCAAAAUUCAAUUAGGGAUUAGGAAUCCGAUCCGGUUAAAAGCUUAAACAAAAAAAGGAAAAAAAUUCACAAAACAAUUUCAUAAAACAAAGCUCCAAACCCGAUCAGCCGAUCCGUAACCCCAAAUUCAAACUCUAACAGCCAUAUCCUCUCUCAUCCGGUCAUCCCUCUUGCCGGCAAUUCCUCCACGCCGCACCACGUCUCGUUAUCGCAGCCCCCGACUUCGAUCCCCAAAUUCCCAAUUUCGCAAAACAAAACAAAUACUAACAGCCACAUCUUCUCUCAUCAGGUCAUCCCUCUCAGUUCGAAGUCACUCCACGCCGUUCUAAGUUAGCACAGCUCGUCGUCGCAGCCAAGUGCCAACGACUUCGGCUCACGACUCUCUCUCUCUCUUUCUCUCUCAAAUCGUUGUCGCAGUUAUCAAAAGCACAGUGUUUAGUUUCGACCCCAAGUCUCGAAGUCGAGUAAUCCUGAGAGCACCACCAAAACUCUAGCGGCCUGGUAUUUUUGUUUUAAACUUUUUCCUUUUAGUUAAUUAGAUUUUCAUUAUAAUAUUUAUUGCCGGUAAACUUUUAUAAUUUUAUGAGUAAUUAGAGUUAAUUGAUGAGUAUUUUAGUUGUGGGCAAUUUGACUAAGACUUGGAGAGAUAGAGACUAUAAUCAAAAUUUAAAAUUUAAUUAGAAAUUGGUGAAAAUUGUUGAAUUUGUUAAUUAUAUGGAUACUUUUGUCACUCUGAUCUGUGAAAUUAAUUUUUUUCGGGAUGAUAAUUAAAGGGCAGUGGAAUGUUUAGUUAUUCUGCUACUUUGCAAACUUGCAGAUUGCUUAUUGUGCAUUAAAAGGGCGAGUAAUCUUUCACUGUAAACACUUAAUAGUGGAUUUGUAGCACAUUUAAUUGUUGGUACUUUGAAGAAUAAGAUGGUUCAUUGCUAACCUAAAUUAUUAACCCAAACCGUAUUUCAACCCAAAAUUAAUAAUGAAAUUAAAAUCGAACUGAACCAAAAUUGAAAGUAAAUGAACUAAAUUGAACCGAAUAAAUUUUCAACCCAUUUAGAUUGAUUAUUAAACCCAAUUGGUUUGUAAACCCAACUGAAAACCGAAAAACCUGAAAUGGCCACCCCUAUGUUUUAAGGGUUAUUCAACGCUUGCACCUAAAUGUUUCAAGAAAUGGCACCGCACACUCACUUCUUUCGAAGCCUUUUACCGCGCACCCAAAUCGUUUGUUCUGCUGUUAAUUUUGACAAUCGAAGGGCGAAAAUUGGUAAUUGUCGAGACAAAUUAAAAAAUACAUAUAUACUAAAUAAAGUGUCAUCAUUCACUUUUUUUUCCACCUUUCCUUUUUCUUUUUCUUCAUCUUUUUCUUCUUACAGUUCUUGAAUGUGGUAGCGGUAGUUCCAUUCACGCUCAAGAGCGACGAUAUUCAUAGAAGGUGUUGGUAAAUGAAAAUAAAUUUUCUAUUUAAUAAAAUUAGCGGAAGCUAGUCUUUUACUAUUAUUAUUAUUAUUAUUAUUAUUAUUAUUAUUAUUAUUAUUAUUAUUAUUAUUAUUAUUAUUAUUAUUAUUAUUAUUAUGUAUACAUGCAUAGAGUUAAAAUAAGACUUUGAUUUCUUAUAGAAUAUUGCGCGCGCAUGUGUGUGCGUGUGCGUGUGCGUGUGCGUGUGCGUGUUAAUUUAUUUUGUUGAACAAGGUAUGUUCUAAGUUUGGUGUGUGUGUGUGUGUUAAUUUAUUUUGUUGAACAAGGUAUGUUUUAAGUUUGGUGUGUGUGUGUUAAUUUAUUUUGUUGAACAAGGUAUGUUCUAAGUUUGGUGUGUGUGUGUGUGAAUUUAUUUUGUUGAACAAGGUAUGUUCUAAGUUUGGUGUGUGUUAAUUUAUUUUGUUGAACAAGGUAUGUUCUAAGUUUGGUGUGAGUUCUUCUCACUUCAGUAUUUACUUAACGCAAUAAAAGAAUUAUCGCAAGAGUGGCUAAUACGCUAAAAGCUAAAUUUCAAGGGCAAGGUUAUUGCAAAAUAAAUCAAAUGGGCUUGAUGCUUGGAGUUGCGCGGAUUGAUUAAAUCUAUUGUAAGGAUCGCACGUGAAAGAAGCGUAAUUGUAAAGCAUGCACCUUCACAUGAUUUGACUUGAAGAUUGGUGGCCAAACAACCUAAUUCUACAAGGAUUUGACGUUAACUUGAAGUCGGCCAAGGUAUUAUAAAAACAAAGCCAUUGGGUUAUGAAAAUAAGUCAAGAGACGGACACAAGAUUUAUAGAUGCCGCCGAGAGCAAUUGAAGAGCAACAGUCAGGGUUUUGAGAGGAGAGAUUUUU
RNAcentral lists this long non-coding RNA (2481 nucleotides) under Citrus maxima (pomelo). RNAcentral's name for it is "long non-coding RNA (CMAX_LNC001245)". Lineage: Eukaryota; Viridiplantae; Streptophyta; Magnoliopsida; Sapindales; Rutaceae. The record is from RNAcentral.